RNAcentral lists this ribosomal RNA (505 nucleotides) under Pseudamnicola meloussensis. RNAcentral describes it as "partial 16S ribosomal RNA". It matches the Rfam family "Bacterial large subunit ribosomal RNA", at positions 1824 to 2600 of the family's 2925-position model. The record is from RNAcentral. Lineage: Eukaryota; Metazoa; Mollusca; Gastropoda; Littorinimorpha; Hydrobiidae.
CGCUCGAUGUUUUUCUUUUAUAUCGAGUCGAACCUGCCCAGUGAUUUUUAUUUAACGGCCGCAGUACUCUGACUGUGCAAAGGUAGCAUAAUCAUUUGCCUUAUAAUUGAAGGCUAGUAUGAAUGGUUUGACAAGAAUAACGCUGUCUCUUAUAGAUUCUAUAGAAUUUGGUUUUUAGGUGAAGAAACCUAAAUAUAAUUAAAAGACAAGAAGACCCUAUCGAGCUUAAAAUAAUUUUUUUGGUAUAAUGAUAACACCUUACUCAAAAAAAGAUUUUGGUUGGGGCGACUAAGGAACACAAAAAGCUUCCUAUAAACUAUAAUUACUAAUAAGUAUUGAUCCAAAAAGUUUGAUUAACAGAAUUAGUUACCGUAGGGAUAACAGCAUAAUCUUUUCUAAGAGUCCUUAUCGAAGAAAAGGUUUGUGACCUCGAUGUUGGACUAGGGUACCCAGACAGGUGCAGAAGCCUUCAAUGGUUGGUCUGUUCGACCAUUAAUACCCUACA